GACGAACGCUGGCGGCGUGCUUAACACAUGCAAGUCGAACGGAAAGGCCCUGCUUGCAGGGUACUCGAGUGGCGAACGGGUGAGUAACACGUGGGUGAUCUGCCCUGCACUUCGGGAUAAGCCUGGGAAACUGGGUCUAAUACCGGAUAGGAGCCAUUUUUAGUGUGAUGGUUGGAAAGUUUUUUCGGUGUAGGAUGAGCUCGCGGCCUAUCAGCUUGUUGGUGGGGUAAUGGCCUACCAAGGCGGCGACGGGUAGCCGGCCUGAGAGGGUGGACGGCCACAUUGGGACUGAGAUACGGCCCAGACUCCUACGGGAGGCAGCAGGGGGGAAUAUUGCACAAUGGGCGCAAGCCUGAUGCAGCGACGCCGCGUGGGGGAUGACGGCCUUCGGGUUGUAAACUCCUUUCGCUAGGGACGAAGCUUUUUGUGACGGUACCUAGAGAAGAAGCACCGGCUAACUACGUG
RNAcentral lists this ribosomal RNA (465 nucleotides) under uncultured bacterium. Its description in RNAcentral is "partial 16S ribosomal RNA". It matches the Rfam family "Bacterial small subunit ribosomal RNA", at positions 28 to 507 of the family's 1533-position model. The record is from RNAcentral.